RNAcentral lists this ribosomal RNA (309 nucleotides) under uncultured bacterium. Its description in RNAcentral is "bacterial SSU rRNA". It matches the Rfam family "Bacterial small subunit ribosomal RNA", at positions 28 to 334 of the family's 1533-position model. The record is from RNAcentral.
GACGAACGCUGGCGGCGUGCCUAACACAUGCAAGUCGAGCGGGGAGGAGAAAGCUUGCUUUCGAAUCCUAGCGGCGGACGGGUGAGUAACGCGUGAGCAACCUGCCUCUUACAGGGGGAUAACGCAUCGAAAGAUGUACUAAUACCGCAUGAGACCACAGAACCGCAUGGUUUAGGGGUCAAAGAUUUAUUGCUGAGAGGUGGGCUCGCGUCUGAUUAGGUAGUUGGUGAGGUAACGGCCCACCAAGCCGACGAUCAGUAGCCGACCUGAGAGGGUGAUCGGCCACAUUGGGACUGAGACACGGCCCAA